Long non-coding RNA from Strigops habroptila (Kakapo), 1787 nucleotides. RefSeq lists it as uncharacterized. Lineage: Eukaryota; Metazoa; Chordata; Aves; Psittaciformes; Psittacidae. The record is from RefSeq and is a predicted model, not a curated record. The transcript is spliced from 3 exons.
UGGCUGAGGUCGGGGAGAGCUUGCAGCCCUCGCCCUGGGUGCAGCCGCUGGGAGCACUUCAGUCCGGUGCAGGGAGCAGCAAAUGGAAACCCGGCGCGGUUUUUUAAACAGUGACUUCUCUCAAGCGUUUUCAUAAUGAAACGCUGUUUGGCAGUCUUGUAACUUCCUCAAGUGUUUUUGUGAAACCUGCAGAUAGAAGAAUGUGAAGAAAAUGGAAAGCUACUGGGGUUUUGCAGUCAUGCUCUUUGAAUGGUCGUGCUGACCUUCAUCCUACUCAGGUGGCAGGAGGCUGCCUGUGUGUUUAGAAGCUGAAAAUAAGCACAGGCAAAUUAAAAAAAAUACAGGGUUGUCUGCACUGUUUUACACCAGCAACUAAUUUUGUGGCUUUUAUGUAGGGCUGUAUUUUCGAAAUUAAAUAGCUUGGGUUUGGCUGUCUGAGCUCCAGGCAUUCCCUGUGAUAUAUAAACACGGCUCUUCAGAGGUCCUGAAGAUUUGCAGUUCAAUUUCACUAAUACCAGUGGGGACUACGCUGGGCCUUAGCUGACUAAUAUAAUUCUAAUUAGUCCUUGCUUUUGACUCUGGUUUUAUUUUAUUUGCCAGAGGAAGAAAACAGUAUGUUUCCUUGUAAGCAAAGUAGAAGCCUUCCUGUUAAAAGUUGUGCUUUUAGUGGAAAGCUCAGUUUAACAAUUUGUAAAGAGCGUAACUAUUUUUCCUCAGUCCUUGCACCAGUGAACAGCUGUGACUUGGUCAGUGGGUUUGAAAGCAGUUACUGCAUUGUAAAGUGUGUGUAUGUUUUAAGAUGAGCACUUUGAUAUACCGUUUCUCCUAAAGGACUCCAUUUCACCGGAUAAUGCCAAGUGAAAAUUCAUGUUAUGGUUGUACAAACAAGAGCAUCUUGAAAAUUGUGGAGCUGCAUACAAGCAAAUGUCAGAUGACAGCUUCUCAUUCCUCAACACAGCUACCACGUGUCAUUGAUGUUGUCUGCUAUUGAAAGAAUGCAAACAAAAUGUGUGCAGAAAAAAAACUGCACAUGGACACAUCCAGGUUCCUGGCACACCUGCCUCUUCUGUUGCCUUCAGUGGAGGAAUCAGUUAUUACUCUGAAAAGAGGAACUGAGGAGGAUGUCUGCAUUUGAGUGUCUGCAGGGUGUCUACAUUUGAGUAAGAUGGUGUUUCCUCAUAUGUGCAUUCUCUUUUUCAGUCUCCAGCUGUUUCAUAUCAUACCCAGUGUAUACACCAGCCAUCUUCCAGCCCUGGUCCUACUGCUGCAGCAGGCAGACCUCAGUCUCUGUAGACUCUGGAGAGUAUCUAGCCUCUCUACUUUUCCUUCUUACUUUUUGUCCAUCAGUCAUCUCUUUAUUCCUGCUUGUUAUCUGCCGAUCUACCCAUACAUUCUCUCUAAUUGUAGUCCCUUCCUAACAUUCUCCUAUUCUUACAUUCCUAUACUUGCUUGCAAAUGGCUGGAGAAUCCUAAUGGUAUAAGUGUGAUGAAUUUACCAGUCAAAAAUAAUGUUAAAAUUAAGUUUAAAAAAAAAAAUAAAUAAGAAAUUAAAGUGAAGAGCAUAUGUUAUGCUCCCCACUUGCUGCCACCAUCUUUUGUAUGCAGGAGUUCACAUUUGGUUCUGUUUUCCUUCCCUUCUACAUUUACAUUUCCUCCACGCACACACAUAUGUUUUCCUUUCUCCAAUCAAUGGUAAGACUUAGCUGCUUAAAUAAAACCACUAGUCUAUUUGUGGGUGUGUAGAAGUAACAUUCAAAAAGAAAAUACCAUCAAUUUUAUCUAUGUAU